UGCAGAAUGAACAAACCUAUGUAAUCUA
RNAcentral lists this non-coding RNA (28 nucleotides) under Homo sapiens (human). Lineage: Eukaryota; Metazoa; Chordata; Mammalia; Primates; Hominidae. The record is from RNAcentral.